UACCCUCUCUAGAUUAAACAGCUUGUGUACUGCCGUCGUAAGCACACCUCUAAAAGUAAAGUAUGCAACUAUGACAAACUCAUAUACGUCAGGUCAAAGUGCAGCUUAUGAGAGGGCGACGAUGGGUUACACCCUAAAUAAAGAUACGAAAUAUAACACCAAAAGAUAUAUGAAGGUGGACUUGGACGUAAUAAAGAUACAAAGCCAAAAUGAAGACGAAUCUAAGACAUGCACACAUCGCCCGUCACUCUUGCCCAAAGGUGAGAUAAGUCGUAACAAAGUAGGUGUAACGGAAGUUGCACCUGU
RNAcentral lists this ribosomal RNA (306 nucleotides) under Aporrectodea longa. RNAcentral describes it as "partial 12S ribosomal RNA". It matches the Rfam family "Bacterial small subunit ribosomal RNA", at positions 972 to 1520 of the family's 1533-position model. Lineage: Eukaryota; Metazoa; Annelida; Clitellata; Crassiclitellata; Lumbricidae. The record is from RNAcentral.